CACCUGCCCUGCCCAGAUGUCUAUUGCUGCCUCUGUGACUCUAAACACUUUCCAGUUUGAGUGGCACCUUUUCUACUAGUCUGGAAGUUUAUUGGCCUUUGUGUCCCCAGUACCUACCACUUCUCCUGACACAGAGAAUGUGCUCAAACGUGUUUGCUGAAUGAACUAGAAAGUCUAAAUUAUUUCAGCUCUGCAUUAGCAAGAGUCAAUGCCACAGGGAACUAGCUGAUCAAACACUCACAGACUUUCAGACCUGCACGGGGCUUGUGGCAGCCAGCCCUCCAGAUGACCUCCAAUGAUCCCCUCCUCCUGGAAUUCAUACCUUCUUCAGUCCCUUCCCACAAUGUGUCAGGGUUGGUCUGCGUAACCAAUAGAACGAGAUGGAUGUAACAAUGUGUGACUUCCACGCCACUUCUGCCUUGCUCUGCCUUGAGUCACUCGUUCUGAAGGAAGCCAGACGCCAUGUUAUAAGGACACUCAAGCUGGCCUAUAGAGAGGUCCAUGGGAGGAGGAACUGAGGCUAGCUGCCCACAGCCAGCAUCAGCUUGCCCACCAUGGGAGGGAGCCUCCUGGCGAGCAGACCCUUCAGGCCUAGGUCAAGCCCUCAGGUGUGGCAGCCCCACCCACUGUCUUCUUGACUGCAGCCUCAAGAAAGAUGCUGAACCAGAACUACGAGCUAAGCUGCUCCCAGAGGAUCUGCCAGAUAGUUCUCAUCCUCGUCAGAGUCCCCUGCUUCUCUGCGUCCCUCUGGGUUAGAUGGAAAUCCACAGGUCACCAGACAAAAAGGGGCACCUGGUGCUUUUUGAUGAGCAAGAACAGAAGUUUCGAGGCCUCCGGGAAUUUUUGAAAACCUUUGGUGAAACGAAUCAGAAGAUCUGGAAGCUGUAUCUUUAAAAGGUUCCCUCUGUGGCUGCUGCCAGAUUUUGGCCUCAGGCUUGAGUCCUGAGCUCCCCCAGGGCUUGAGAAAGGGACAAGAGGAAACUGGUGCUGGGCCCUUCCCGAGGUUCGAGGUUGGAGAGCCACCGUAGGGAAGAGAGGGCCCCUCUCACUCCACCUCCUGGCCCGGGGCCUCGGCCUCUCCCUAGGAGAGUUUGGUGAUACCUCGGUGGUUCCUGACAGGAAAUCCCCUUCUGCCUCAUGGAAAACCCAGACAAGGAAGCAGAGCAGCCCCCAUGGACUGUUCAGGCUCCACCCAGCGUUGUAGAAGUAAAAAAAGGUCCAUCAUCUCAGGCCGGGGUCUGGAAGCCCCUGGGCUCUGACCACACUUACAAGGACACUGCAGCCUGUGAGGAGACACACACAGAACACCAGGCCUCUUACGGUGGCAUCGGCACCAUAGCUUACCAGGUCCACAGUGGUUUUGACUCUUACAUCAACUUGAUGAAGUCUGCAGAGGAACAGGUAUCGCUCCCUCCGUUUGGCAAAUGAGAAAACCACAGCCAAGAGGCUCUGCCGGAGAUCUAACUCAAGCCCCAGAGUGCAGCUGAGUCCCAGUGACAGAGUCGGACACUCACGCCAAGCACACCCUGAGCCGGGCCACCUCCCAACCCAUCCCACCCCCUCCCUGUUGGGGUGAACGGGUCCUGCCUGGGGGCAGCAGGUCGUGCGUGGAGGCCUGAAGGAUGCCGAGUGAUGACUCGAGCAGCCGUCUUCUGCUGUGGGGCCUUCCUAGGCCUUCCAAGAGACCAGUUUGUGCUGACCAAGGCUGUGAGAGCCAUCAGACCCCUGGGCAGUGGGGACAACCCAUGCCAUGUUCUGCACUGCAGACUCCCACACGAGCCUGCACGUCCAUCCCCUUUCUCGACACUCCUUUGUAAGUCAUUGUUUGACAUUCUUACCCACUCAUAUUCCUUUCCUAUGACUGCUGUAACAAAUCACCACAAACUUGGUUUGAAACAAUAGACAUUUAUCCUCUCACAGUUCUUGAGGCCAGAAGUCUGGACCGAAGGUGUUGGUAGGGUUGGUUCCUGCCGGAUGCUCUGAGGGAGAAGCUUGUCCAUGCCUCUCUAGCCUCCAGUGGCAGUCAGCAAUCCUUGGCUUGUAGGAGCAUCACUCUAGUCUCUGCCUCCAUUUCACGUGGCCUCCCCUGCUCUGUCUCACGGUCUGUUUCCCAGAGAAACAUUCAUACGUUGUUAGAUUUCAACAAAUGAAUUUUGAGGGGACACAAAUGUGAAGUCCAUCACGCUCAUUAUUUCCAAUAAGACAAGGAUCUUUAGACUCAUCUUUGAAAAUGAUUCUCAAGUUAGAGAACCAUGGAGAGAACAUCAGUGUCCAUCCAGCUGAGCCCCCACGGUAUAGAUGAAUCUCCUCUACAAGCCCCUCUCAAAUGAUUUCCUAGUGUCCACCUAAACACCUCCAUCCACCAUGUCCGGAGGCAGCCAUAGAGUCCUUGGGUCGCCCUACCAUGGAGGAACAUUGUCCUGCUGAGUUACAGUCCAGAACCUGCAGCUCCCAUUCUCAGGCCCAGUUUUAGCCCUGGGGCCGUGUAGAGCAAGUCCACAUCUCUUCUCCAUGGGACAGCUCUUCAGAUAUUUAGCAACCACUGUUCUGGUCUUCCCAGCUCCAGGGUGAACACCGCCCCCAGCCCACCGUUGCAAACACGGUGGGGUCUUCCUGGUCAUCCUUCUCUGAACAGGUCCUAGUUUGUCUCUACCCCUUCAUUUAGAAGUGGGGUGCCCAGAAAUGCAAACAAUGGCCGUCUGCAUGCUGUUCAUCCUGUAACACAGAAUCCAGUGCUGGGAUAACAGCGGGAAGCAAGACAGACAGGGUCCAGCUGUCCUGAAGCUCCUGUUCCAGCUAAGGGGGUGGGGGAUGGAGAGAAACAAAUAAGGAACAUAUCAGAGAGUGAGAGAGGCUCUUCUGAGAGCUGCAGCAGGGGUCUACCAUAAAGCAUGACCAGUGGUCAGGUAGCCUCUUUGCGGGACUGGUGUUUAUGCCCAGGUCCGAAUGACAAGAACAGCUAAAGCAAAGUCCCUAAUGCACCACAGACCCCCUCCUUCACCCCCCUUUCCCUAAGGCCCCACCACCCUCCGAUCCUCCCGCCCCACGCUGGCUCCUAUCUCUCUCCAAAUCACAGGCAUUCCCCAAGCAGGGCCAGCGCCAGAAGGGUGGGCCCUGGGGCAGCUCAGCCACUCUGGGGGCCGCCGAAGGUAAUCACACUGAAAUUCCAGGAUUGAAUUCAAUGACAUGGAGAAGAGAAAAGAGGAUUAGGUGUAGUUCAAGCCGCCCAGCCCUCUCCCCACCAGUGUGGGGUCCAGGCUAUUGGGUGCCCUUCUCAAAGGUCUGCUUCUGAGCAGAAGGAACCAGGAUCCAAAAGACAGGUAGAAAGGGUGCCUGGAAUGGGGGUGCCCUGCAGCCUGGUCUUCAGCGAACCCCAACCUCUCCACUGAGCCCACAAAACCCACUACCCAGGUGGUCUUCAAAGAUACCUGGAUGCUAUCAGACUCAGCUGA
RNAcentral lists this long non-coding RNA (3452 nucleotides) under Equus caballus (horse). RNAcentral's name for it is "lncRNA (ENSECAG00000060056.1)". Lineage: Eukaryota; Metazoa; Chordata; Mammalia; Perissodactyla; Equidae. The record is from RNAcentral.